Molecule: long non-coding RNA, 1095 nt
Organism: Scleropages formosus (Asian bonytongue)
Lineage: Eukaryota; Metazoa; Chordata; Actinopteri; Osteoglossiformes; Osteoglossidae
Exons: 5
Source: RefSeq, a predicted model, not a curated record
AUUAUUUAUCAAAUCUGUUAAAAAAGCAAAGCACCGGCAUAACAUAAAUUUUAUUACAUACUGGAGUUUAGAAUAGAACUACGGGUUACACUGUGUUUAUUCAUCGACAUUUGUUUAGAAACCGAUAGAACCUAUGGCGUUGACAAAUGUUUCCAUUACAGAUACGGUUAACGUUAACCUUCCACGAAAAUGACGACCAAAACUGUUAAUACUGUACAGUACAAGGCAAACUUAGGCCCCUGACGUUAGCCGGAGCUGUACCAAUCCACAAAGAGAUGCGGAGAGCGAGCUCUCUCUUCUUCCCAGCGUGCUUUGCGCGCUAGAGGAAGUUGCGCUGGUUACAUUUAAAGACAGGGGCUGCCUGUACUGAAGAGGAUAACUGAACAGGCAGAGGCAGGGAGAAGGGCGGGUGCAAGAGGCAGCUCCGCGCAGCUAAGGUCCAAGAUGGCAGGCAAGCGGAACCCGACCAGGAACAAAAACUUCAUAAAACAAGCGCCAUCUACGAAGAAUAUUCCUCUGCUUUGCCCAGACGAAAGAAGGGGACAGUAUUUCGGCAAAGUUAGGGGUGAGGUGAAAUCCAGUGAAGAUGGAUGAAGACACACUGUUCUUCUUUUGAGGAAAAAGUCUGUCAAUGGAGAUGUUCAAAAAGGACCACGUGAACAGUUUCUGUUAAGUGGACCAGCUGAACAUGUCCUCUUUCCGAAAAGACGAAGAUGUUCUGACCCCCAUACAACAGAAGAAAGUGAAGUGGAGACAUGUGGUAUGUCACCAAGAUGGCAACUCCUUUCUGUGCUUUGGGAUUCUGUUAUCUGGGGGUGGCAAAUUUGAGGGGUUUUUUUUUUCUUUUUUUUUUUUUUUUCCUUUUUUCUUUUUUUCUUCUUGCUGCAUUGCAUGGACAUGUCAUGGAGUUGUAAAAGAGUGUCUUUACCAGAGGAAUUUGUGCUUCUAAUAUGUUUCAUGCUUUCUGACACAGUGAAAUGUGAUUGAGUGUGAUGAAGAGUUUGUAUUUGUUUUCAAAAUGUUUAUGUAUUUCAUCUGUAUUUAAUUGGACUGUUUCUUCAUUGGUUUUUAAUAAAAUAAGGUUAUUUAACUUUU